Molecule: ribosomal RNA, 501 nt
Filed under: uncultured Actinomycetes bacterium
Lineage: Bacteria; Bacillati; Actinomycetota; Actinomycetes
Description: bacterial SSU rRNA
Rfam family: Bacterial small subunit ribosomal RNA
Source: RNAcentral
AGAGUUUGAUCAUGGCUCAGGACGAACGCUGGCGGCGUGCUUAACACAUGCAAGUCGAACGGAAAGCGCUUUUCGGAGUGACUCGAGUGGCGAACGGGUGAGUAACACGUGGGUGAUCUGCCCUGCACUUUGGGAUAAGCCUGGGAAACUGGGUCUAAUACCGGAUAGGACUACGAAUCGCAUGGUUUGUGGUGGAAAGCUUUUGCGGUGUGGGAUGGGCCCGCGGCCUAUCAGCUUGUUGGUGGGGUGAUGGCCUACCAAGGCGACGACGGGUAGCCGGCCUGAGAGGGUGUCCGGCCACACUGGGACUGAGAUACGGCCCAGACUCCUACGGGAGGCAGCAGUGGGGAAUAUUGCACAAUGGGCGCAAGCCUGAUGCAGCGACGCCGCGUGAGGGAUGACGGCCUUCGGGUUGUAAACCUCUUUCAACAGGGACGAAGCGUAAAGUGACGGUACCUGUAGAAGAAGCACCCGGCCAACUACGUGCCAGCAGCCGCGGUA